RNAcentral lists this long non-coding RNA (2268 nucleotides) under Mytilus galloprovincialis (Mediterranean mussel). The record is from RNAcentral. Lineage: Eukaryota; Metazoa; Mollusca; Bivalvia; Mytilida; Mytilidae.
GCUUGUAUGAAAGUUGAAUAAGAAUUGUAUCGUAUUGUUUCUUAUAAAUUAAUUUUUUUUUACCCUGAACUAAAAUUAUAAAUAUGAAUCAUGAUAGCAUAAAAAUAUUGGAAAGAUGAACAAGUGCAGGCACACCAAAUGUAAGUGUGGACACAUAAUAGUGAUUGACACAGUAACCUGAUAACAAAAUGUAACCCUUACUAAUCCAGAAAUGAAAAACUGGAUUGAAGGGAAUACCAAUUAAAAAAAAUGGAUUCUUCAAGCCUUUUUUUAAGUACAAUUGGUUAUAAAUCUACAAUUUCUAUUUACAAUACCAAAUUUUACUCAAGGGGCCCCUUUCAGUUUGUCAAGACAAAAAAAAAUUUAAACAAACAAUUGUGUCUACACAUGGAUUAUGAUGACAGUAACAAAGAUAGAACAGUUACAUUAAAAAAAAUCUGCAGUUAUAGUACUUUUUUUUUUCUUCAAAUUUUCCAGUUGCAUUCCUUUGUCACUUGCUUUAAGUGCUCAGAAUUUUGGUACACUGACUGCAAUCAGUAUUAUACUGUGAGCAACAUCUUACGUUGUGGGAUACUCAGUGAUGUAUACAUGAAUUUUAAUGUGCGUAUUGUUAUGCGUUUACUUUUCUAUAUUGGCUAGAGGUGUAGGAAAGGGUUGAGAUCUCAUAAAAAUGUUUAACCCCGCCACAUUUUUGCGCCUGUCCCAAGUCAGCAGCCUCUGGCCUUUGUUAGUCUUGUAUUAUUUUAAUUUUAGUGUCUUGUGUACAAUUUGGAAAUUAGUAUGGAGUUCAUUAUCACUGAACUAGUAUAUAUUUGUUUAGGGGCCAGCUGAAGGACGCCUCCGGGUGCUGGAAUUUCUCGCUACAUUGAAGACCUGUUGGUGACCUUCUGCUGUUGUUUUUUUCUAUGGUCGGGUUGUUGUAUCUUUGACACAUUCCCCAUUUCCAUUCUCAAUUUUAUGAAACCUGGUAAUUAGAAACUAAAUAUUAGUUUCAAUAUCUAUCAUUUCUACAAUCUGUUCUUAGAUAUAGCACAUUUCAACUUAGUGCAUAGUAAUCAUAGCAAGUGAUAAUACAAAAGUUUUUAACCCACAUAUCAAGAUUUUGUAUCAAUUAUUUUUUAUCAUAUACUUAGCAUUGAUAUGAUAGCUUUUGCAUAUGUGUAAUGAGCGGAAGUACACAAGCCAUAAUUUCCCAACCGGCCUGAUAACCCAUAUCAGGGGCGUCUCGUGCAAAAACCCAUAACAGUGCUUCUCGUGCAAGUUACUUCCGGUGUUUCUGGUAUCGAUUGUUUACUUUUCCAUUGUGACGUCAGAUAUUUUUUAUGACGACAUCAAAAUUUACGGGAAAUUUUGUCCCCAGUUUAGUACUUGCUAACAAAUGCCAUUGACAAUUAAGAAUCAUUUUAUAGUACAACAAACAUGGAGUAAUAAUGAUCAUAAAACUCUUCCAAAUUUUCAAUGUUUCAAAAUGACUUUAUAUAGGAAAUGUUACGAUACAUAUAUAUGGAGGUAGUGAUGCUGUUGUUGGACAGUUAUAGUAUAUUUGAUUCAUAAUUUAACUUCUUUAUAAACUUUUUGACUGUUUUAGUUAUUGCAUUUGUGUAUUUGCCUUAUUUAGUCCUGGUAUCUAUGAUGAGUUUAUUUACAUAAAACUAUUGUUGGAAGUAUAUGAUAAAGCGAUUAAUACAUGGCCUUUUCCAUAUCAGCCUGGGUAUCAUCCCUCGACCCAUAUCAGCACCUCGACUCCGUCUCGGGCUGAUAUGGGGGUCUCGGGAUGAUACCCAGGCUGAUAUGGAAAAGGCCAUGUAUUAAUCUCUUUGUAUAAACAUGAUAAUCAUUUCAGUAUGACUUAUAAAAGAAAAUGAGCCCAGAGUUAUUUCCACUUCCCAUACUAGAUAGAAGGUGGUGACCCACUGAUACUCCCUCAUUUCAGGGGCGGAUCCAGCCAUUUUAAAAAGGGGGGUUCCUAACCCAGGACAAAGGGGGGGUUCCAAUUAUAUGUCCCCAUUCAAAUGCAUUGAUCGUCCAAAAAAAAGGGGGGUUCCAACCCCCGGAACCCCCCCUCUGGAUCCGCGCCUGCAUUUGCAUAAAAAAGUUGCCAGGACUUCAUACAAUUUCAGACUCAACAUUUCAUACAAUUUCAUACUUUAAAAUUUUCUCAUGAUGAAGAAAAGAUUAUUGAGGUUCAAAGUUUAUGAUAAUGACUAGCAAAUUUGACAUUAACAUGCAGAAAGAUUUCAAUAUAUACAUACAUUAAAAGUGGGAUUA